CUGGACUUAAGCAUAUCACUAAGCGGAGGAAAAGAAACUAACUAGGAUUCCCCCAGUAACUGCGAGUGAAGAGGGAAGAGCUCAUCAUUGGAAUCUGGCGGUGUUGCACCGUCCGAGUUGUAGAUGAGGAGUGGUUCAUCUGGACUGCAUGGCGUCCAAGUACAAUAGGCCGUCAGUGGGACAUCAUAGAGGGUGACAAUCCCGUCCUUGAUGCCAAUGUGCAAGUCCAUUACGAUGGCUAUCUCAGAGAGUCGAGCAGUUUGGGAUUUGCUGCUUAAACAUGGGAGGUAGAUUCCUUCUAAAGCUAAAUACAGGCAAGAGACCGAUAGAGAACAAGUACCGCAAGGGAAAGAUGAAAUAGCACUCUGUGAAGGGAGUCAAAAGGCGUGAAAUUGUUGCGAGAGAAGCGAUUCAAGUCAGCGUAGCUAGGCCCAUUAAGCCUCUUUGCGCUUUGGACUAGCUUUGCCAGCGGUCUUGUCCUUAGAGACUUGACUUGUAUGUCCAGCCUGGUAUGCACAGGUAGCCCCUCCGGGGGUCAGUGACAUGGCUGGUGGAAUGGCUUGCAAUCGACCCGUCUUGAAACACGGACCAAGGAGUCUAACAUGUAUGCGAGUAUAAGGGUGGCAAACCCGUAUGCGCAAUGAAAGUGAUUUUCGGUGAUUGAGAAUGGCCUGAUGACCAGACAAGCAAUAUAUGUCCCUCGUACGGCCAUUGCCCAAGUUCCGUGGUAGAUCCCACGAACAUGGAGUUGGAGCAUACAUGCUAGGACCCGAAAGAUGGUGAACUAUGCCUGGACAAAGCGAAGCCAAAGGAAACUCUGGUGGAGGCUUGUAGCGAUUCUGACGUGCAAAUCGAUCGUCUGAUCUGGGUAUAGGGGCGAAAGACUAAUCGAACC
This 895-nucleotide ribosomal RNA is filed under the name Cantharellus aff. indicus. RNAcentral describes it as "partial large subunit ribosomal RNA". It matches the Rfam family "Eukaryotic large subunit ribosomal RNA", at positions 28 to 941 of the family's 3401-position model. Lineage: Eukaryota; Fungi; Basidiomycota; Agaricomycetes; Cantharellales; Hydnaceae. The record is from RNAcentral.